AAUCACUUGUCUUUUAAAUGAAGACCUGUAUGAAUGGCAUAACGAGGGCUUAACUGUCUCCUUUUUCAAGUCAAUGAAAUUGAUCUCCCCGUGCAGAAGCGGGGAUAAAACCAUAAGACGAGAAGACCCUAUGGAGCUUUAGAUGUAAAGACAGCUCAUGUUAAAAGUACCCAAACAAAGGACCAAACUAAAUGAGCUCUGUCUAAAUGUCUUUGGUUGGGGCGACCUUGGGGAAACACAAAACCCCCACGAGGAACAGGAGCACUUAACCCUUACAUUUACUCCCCUCCUAGAAAUUAGAAAUACCCUUCUAAUUAACAGAAAUUCUGACCAAAAAUGAUCCGGCAAAGCCGAUCAACGAACCAAGUUACCCUAGGGAUAACAGCGCAAUCCCCUUUUAGAGUCCAUAUCGACAAGGGGGUUUACGACCUCGAUGUUGGAUCAGGACAUCCCAAUGGUGCAGCCGCUAUUAAGGGUUCGUUUGUUCAACGAUUAA
Molecule: ribosomal RNA, 496 nt
Filed under: Nematops sp. PNG793
Lineage: Eukaryota; Metazoa; Chordata; Actinopteri; Pleuronectiformes; Pleuronectidae
Description: partial 16S ribosomal RNA
Rfam family: Bacterial large subunit ribosomal RNA
Source: RNAcentral